UACAGAGGUCUCAAGCGUUGUUCGGAUUCAUUGGGCGUAAAGGGUGCGUAGGUGGCGCCGUAAGUCAGGUGUGAAAUUUCGGAGCUUAACUCCGAAACUGCAUUUGAUACUGCGGUGCUUGAGGACUGGAGAGGAGACUGGAAUUCACGGUGUAGCAGUGAAAUGCGUAGAUAUCGUGAGGAAGACCAGUGGCGAAGGCGGGCUCUGACGACUCUGACUGAGGCUAGCGACGGAAGC
RNAcentral lists this ribosomal RNA (237 nucleotides) under uncultured bacterium. RNAcentral describes it as "partial 16S ribosomal RNA". It matches the Rfam family "Bacterial small subunit ribosomal RNA", at positions 524 to 760 of the family's 1533-position model. The record is from RNAcentral.